Long non-coding RNA from Nyctereutes procyonoides (raccoon dog), 457 nucleotides. RefSeq lists it as uncharacterized. NCBI's taxonomy places the organism in Eukaryota, Metazoa, Chordata, Mammalia, Carnivora, Canidae. The transcript is spliced from 3 exons. The record is from RefSeq and is a predicted model, not a curated record.
GGUUUGCUGGGCUGGAAUUCAAGGACACCACGCAGGGAGUCGCUCGCCAUCUGUAGGAACCGGUUGUCACUCAGGGCCGUCCCUCCACGUCACAGGCUCCAGGACGUCAGAGACUGUAAAGCACAGAGAAGAAACACAACCAGGACGACCCACGCGAUGGCUUGCCGCCUGGUCGCACGCGCGUUCGGAUGGAGUGUUUUGUGGAGGCACAAGCACCAGCUGUGCGGGGGAGGCAGCCCUGCCCUCGGGGAGCUCUCGGUUCUGCGGAGAAAACUGCCUCCAUAGCGCCCGAUGCUGCUGAGAGUCGGAGGUGGGGUGCAGGGGGUCCCUCAGCGUCUGAAUCCCAAGAACCGGCUGAGCAGGAGCAGGUCUGCGGCCACACCCUGAAGCACCGUGUUUGACCCCAGAGCUGGCCCUUCACCUCACAAAGCACAAUGUGCUUAUUAAAUCUGUCUUA